AAAUUGAAGAGUUUGAUCAUGGCUCAGAUUGAACGCUGGCGGCAGGCCUAACACAUGCAAGUCGAACGGUAACAGGAAGCAGCUUGCUGCUUUGCUGACGAGUGGCGGACGGGUGAGUAAUGUCUGGGAAACUGCCUGAUGGAGGGGGAUAACUACUGGAAACGGUGGCUAAUACCGCAUAACGUCGCAAGACCAAAGAGGGGGACCUUCGGGCCUCUUGCCAUCAGAUGUGCCCAGAUGGGAUUAGCUGGUUGGUGAGGUAACGGCUCACCAAGGCGACGAUCCCUAGCUGGUCUGAGAGGAUGACCAGCCACACUGGAACUGAGACACGGUCCAGACUCCUACGGGAGGCAGCAGUGGGGAAUAUUGCACAAUGGGCGCAAGCCUGAUGCAGCCAUGCCGCGUGUAUGAAGAAGGCCUUCGGGUUGUAAAGUACUUUCAGCGGGGAGGAAGGUGUUGUGGUUAAUAACCGCAGCAAUUGACGUUACCCGCAGAAGAAGCACCGGCUAACUCCGUGCCAGCAGCCGCGGUAAUACGGAGGGUGCAAGCGUUAAUCGGAAUUACUGGGCGUAAAGCGCACGCAGGCGGUCUGUCAAGUCGGAUGUGAAAUCCCCGGGCUCAACCUGGGAACUGCAUUCGAAACUGGCAGGCUUGAGUCUUGUAGAGGGGGGUAGAAUUCCAGGUGUAGCGGUGAAAUGCGUAGAGAUCUGGAGGAAUACCGGUGGCGAAGGCGGCCCCCUGGACAAAGACUGACGCUCAGGUGCGAAAGCGUGGGGAGCAAACAGGAUUAGAUACCCUGGUAGUCCACGCCGUAAACGAUGUCUACUUGGAGGUUGUGCCCUUGAGGCGUGGCUUCCGGAGCUAACGCGUUAAGUAGACCGCCUGGGGAGUACGGCCGCAAGGUUAAAACUCAAAUGAAUUGACGGGGGCCCGCACAAGCGGUGGAGCAUGUGGUUUAAUUCGAUGCAACGCGAAGAACCUUACCUGGUCUUGACAUCCACAGAACUUUCCAGAGAUGGAUUGGUGCCUUCGGGAACUGUGAGACAGGUGCUGCAUGGCUGUCGUCAGCUCGUGUUGUGAAAUGUUGGGUUAAGUCCCGCAACGAGCGCAACCCUUAUCCUUUGUUGCCAGCGGUCCGGCCGGGAACUCAAAGGAGACUGCCAGUGAUAAACUGGAGGAAGGUGGGGAUGACGUCAAGUCAUCAUGGCCCUUACGACCAGGGCUACACACGUGCUACAAUGGCGCAUACAAAGAGAAGCGACCUCGCGAGAGCAAGCGGACCUCAUAAAGUGCGUCGUAGUCCGGAUUGGAGUCUGCAACUCGACUCCAUGAAGUCGGAAUCGCUAGUAAUCGUGGAUCAGAAUGCCACGGUGAAUACGUUCCCGGGCCUUGUACACACCGCCCGUCACACCAUGGGAGUGGGUUGCAAAAGAAGUAGGUAGCUUAACCUUCGGGAGGGCGCUUACCACUUUGUGAUUCAUGACUGGGGUGAAGUCGUAACAAGGUAACCGUAGGGGAACCUGCGGUUGGAUCACCUCCUUACCUGAAAGAAGC
RNAcentral lists this ribosomal RNA (1554 nucleotides) under Salmonella enterica subsp. enterica serovar Senftenberg. RNAcentral's name for it is "bacterial SSU rRNA". It matches the Rfam family "Bacterial small subunit ribosomal RNA". Lineage: Bacteria; Pseudomonadati; Pseudomonadota; Gammaproteobacteria; Enterobacterales; Enterobacteriaceae. The record is from RNAcentral.